Molecule: ribosomal RNA, 683 nt
Filed under: Bacillus pumilus
Lineage: Bacteria; Bacillati; Bacillota; Bacilli; Caryophanales; Bacillaceae
Description: bacterial SSU rRNA
Rfam family: Bacterial small subunit ribosomal RNA
Source: RNAcentral
GGGCGUACAGGGCUCGCAGGCGGUUUCUUAAGUCUGAUGUGAAAGCCCCCGGCUCAUCCGGGGAGGGUCAUUGGAAACUGGGAAACUUGAGUGCAGAAGAGGAGAGUGGAAUUCCACGUGUAGCGGUGAAAUGCGUAGAGAUGUGGAGGAACACCAGUGGCGAAGGCGACUCUCUGGUCUGUAACUGACGCUGAGGAGCGAAAGCGUGGGGAGCGAACAGGAUUAGAUACCCUGGUAGUCCACGCCGUAAACGAUGAGUGCUAAGUGUUAGGGGGUUUCCGCCCCUUAGUGCUGCAGCUAACGCAUUAAGCACUCCGCCUGGGGAGUACGGUCGCAAGACUGAAACUCAAAGGAAUUGACGGGGGCCCGCACAAGCGGUGGAGCAUGUGGUUUAAUUCGAAGCAACGCGAAGAACCUUACCAGGUCUUGACAUCCUCUGACAACCCUAGAGAUAGGGCUUCCCCUUCGGGAACAGAGUGACAGGUGGUGCAUGGUUGUCGUCAGCUCGUGUCGUGAGAUGUUGGGUUAAGUCCCGCAACGAGCGCAACCCUUGAUCUUAGUUGCCAUCAUUCAGUUGGGCACUCUAAGGUGACUGCCGGUGACAAACCGGAGGAAGGUGGGGAUGACGUCAAAUCAUCAUGCCCCUUAUGACCUGGGCUACACACGUGCUACAAUGGACAGAA